AAGUAGCAAUACUUAGUGGCAGACGGGUGAGUAACAUGUAGGUAUCUGCCCUUUGGCCUGGAAUAACACGAGGAAACUUGUGCUAAUACCGGAUAAGUCUUUACGGAGAAAGCUUUAUGCACCAUUGGAUGAGCCUGCACUUGAUUAGUUUGUUGGUGGGGUAAUGGCCUACCAAGACUGUGAUCAAUAGCUGAUUUGAGAGGAUGAUCAGCCACAUUGGGACUGAGACACGGCCCAAACUCCUACGGGAGGCAGCAGUGGGGAAUCUUGCACAAUGGAGGAAACUCUGAUGCAGCGAUGCCGCGUGAGUGAAGAAGGCCCUUGGGUUGUAAAGCUCUUUCGUCGGGGAAGAAAAUGACUGUACCCGAAUAAGAAGGUCCGGCUAACUUCGUGCCAGCAGCCGCGGUAAUACGAAGGGACCUAGCGUAGUUCGGAAUUACUGGGCUUAAAGAGUUCGUAGGUGGUUGAAAAAGUUAGUGGUGAAAUCCCAGAGCUUAACUCUGGAACUGCCAUUAAAACUUUUCAGCUAGAGUAUGAUAGAGGAAAGCAGAAUUUCUAGUGUAGAGGUGAAAUUCGUAGAUAUUAGAAAGAAUACCAAUUGCGAAGGCAGCUUUCUGGAUCAUUACUGACACUGAGGAACGAAAGCAUGGGUAGCGAAGAGGAUUAGAUACCCUCGUAGUCCAUGCCGUAAACGAUGUGUGUUAGACGUUGGAAAUUUAUUUUCAGUGUCGCAGGGAAACCGAUAAACGCACCGCCAGGGGAGUACGACCGCAAGGUUAAAACUCAAAUGAAUAGACGGGGACCCGCACAAGUAGUGG
RNAcentral lists this ribosomal RNA (818 nucleotides) under uncultured marine bacterium. RNAcentral describes it as "bacterial SSU rRNA". It matches the Rfam family "Bacterial small subunit ribosomal RNA", at positions 80 to 935 of the family's 1533-position model. The record is from RNAcentral.